This 74-nucleotide transfer RNA is filed under the name Alosa alosa (allis shad). RNAcentral describes it as "tRNA-OTHER". Lineage: Eukaryota; Metazoa; Chordata; Actinopteri; Clupeiformes; Clupeidae. The record is from RNAcentral.
GGUAACAUAACAUAGUGGUUAAGGAGCUCGGCUAGCACCUGAAAAGUUGUGGGUUCAAUUCCCAGCUUCCACCG